This 378-nucleotide unclassified non-coding RNA is filed under the name uncultured Paenibacillaceae bacterium. RNAcentral's name for it is "contains 16S-23S intergenic spacer region". The record is from RNAcentral. Lineage: Bacteria; Bacillati; Bacillota; Bacilli; Caryophanales; Paenibacillaceae.
UCCGGUUUGUCACCGGCAGUCAGCCUAGAGUGCCCGCCUUCACGCGCUGGCAACUAAGCUCAAGGGUUGCGCUCGUUGCGGGACUUAACCCAACAUCUCACGACACGAGCUGACGACAACCAUGCACCACCUGUCUCCCCUGUCCCGAAGGCCUACGCUAUCUCUAACGUAUUCAGGGGGAUGUCAAGACCUGGUAAGGUUCUUCGCGUUGCUUCGAAUUAAACCACAUACUCCACUGCUUGUGCGGGUCCCCGUCAAUUCCUUUGAGUUUCAGUCUUGCGACCGUACUCCCCAGGCGGAGUGCUUAAUGUGUUAACUUCGGCACCGAGGGGUGGACCCCCCCAACACCUAGCACUCAUCGUUUACGGCGUGGACUAC